GGACUACUCGGGUAUCUAAUCCCUUUCGCUCCCCUGGCCUUCGUGCCUCAGCGUCAGUUAAUGUCCAGGAACCCGCCUUCGCCACGAGUGUUCCUCUCGAUAUCUACGCAUUUCACUGCUACACCGAGAAUUCCGGUUCCCCCUCCAUUACUCUAGUCUCGCAGUAUCAUGUGCCGUCCGCGGGUUGAGCCCGCGCCUUUCACACACGACUUACGAAACAGCCUACGCACGCUUUACGCCCAGUGAUUCCGAACAACGCUUGAGACCUCUGUAUUACCGCGGCUGCUGGCACAGAGUUAGCCGUCUCUUCCUCUUGUGGUACUAUCUUUUUAAUUUGCUCCCACAUGACAGGGGUUUACAAUCCGAAGACCUUCAUUCCCCCACGCGGCGUCGCACCAUC
This 400-nucleotide unclassified non-coding RNA is filed under the name uncultured fungus. Its description in RNAcentral is "sequence contains ITS1". Lineage: Eukaryota; Fungi. The record is from RNAcentral.